This 253-nucleotide ribosomal RNA is filed under the name uncultured bacterium. RNAcentral describes it as "partial 16S ribosomal RNA". It matches the Rfam family "Bacterial small subunit ribosomal RNA", at positions 524 to 776 of the family's 1533-position model. The record is from RNAcentral.
UACGUAGGGUGCGAGCGUUGUCCGGAAUUAUUGGGCGUAAAGAGCUUGUAGGCGGUUUGUCGCGUCUGCUGUGAAAAUCCGGGGCUCAACCCCGGACUUGCAGUGGGUACGGGCAGACUAGAGUGUGGUAGGGGAGACUGGAAUUCCUGGUGUAGCGGUGAAAUGCGCAGAUAUCGGGAGGAACACCUAUGGCGAAGGCAGCUCGCUGGGACGUUACUGACGCUGAGACGCGAAAGCGUGGGGAGCAAACAGG